Molecule: long non-coding RNA, 3789 nt
Filed under: Homo sapiens (human)
Lineage: Eukaryota; Metazoa; Chordata; Mammalia; Primates; Hominidae
Description: HSALNT0244085
Source: RNAcentral
GCCAUCCUUGCAGCCUAGGAAUGGAUGGGCCACAGAGGCAACACAGGACAGUAAGAACCAAAGAUGAUAAUCCAGGCAAAGACAAAUUCCUCUGCUGCACCUGGCUAGGGAUUUCACCAGAUCUUUAGGGACCAAAGUUCACACUAGCCAGACAGUUUUGUGGUAUUAGGGCACCUGUAUCUGUAAUUAUACCUAAAUUGAACAAUACGGUAAACUGCAGUAAACUAUGCUAUGGAUUUAAUAAUUUUCAAUUAAUCUUUUUAUUGUAUUAAAAAAAAAAAAGGCCAGGCUGGGCACGGUGGCUCACACCUGUAAUUCCAGCACUUUGGGAGGCCGAGGCAAAUGGAUCACUUGAGCUCAGGAGUUUGAGACCAGCCUGGCCAACAUGGCAAAACCCCCAUCUCUACCAAAAAUACAAAAAUUAGCUGGGCGUGGUAGGGGGCACCUGUAGUCCCAGCUGCUCAGGAGACUGAGGCAGGAGAAUCACUUGAACCCAGGAGGCGGAGGUUGCAGUGAGCCGAGAUCGCGCCAUUGCACUCCAGCCUAGGUGACAGAGCGAGACCGCCCACCCACCCCCAACUUUUUUUGAGACAAAGGCCAGAGUUCCAGAACCUUUUCCAAUACUGUGACACAUGGACAGGGUAGAUCUCAGACAGACAAUCCACAGUGAGGUUUCUGGCACCCGGGGUGUGCAGUCCACACACAGGAACAGGAUGUUUCCAGCAGGAGGAGGAAGCACAAGGUUACACAGGCUUCAGAGUCAGGCUGCCAGGGAUCAAAUCCCAGCACCUCCUUUUUCCUGUGAUGGGGCUUGUUCAACUUCUUUGAUAUCUCUAAACUAGGGAUAACAACAGCACCCGCUUGAGACUAUUGGGUGGAUUGACUGAACUCAUCUAUGUAAAAUGCCCAGCACACAAUAAGCUUCAUCAGCUGUUAUAAUUAAGGUCAGUCCUUGAAAAGGCUUAGUGGAGUUUGGGCAGGUGGCUACACGGUGGGAGAGGAUCCAGCUGUGCCUGUCAGUCCCCAGCUGCCGGCCACAUGGAUGCUCCCCACUCCCCUAGCCACCUCUGCCUGUGUACGCUUCUGACACUACGCUGCCUCUGCUUCCCUCUCCCUGUUCCAGCACGUCGGGCACACACGUGGAGUUGCACUAAUGCCAUUCCGCUGCAGCUUUCUGCAUGGCCCACACCCAUCUUUUCCUGGGUGUCCACUCUCAGCCAGUCAGGAUGGUGGUUGCCCAUCCUGCAGGGGUCCAGGACCUGUAGCCUGUGUGAUAGACACCAGCAGCAGCUAGUCUAUCAGCCACCUCAGUAGAGGCAGGUGACAACAGUGCAGGCUCUUUCAUGAUGGUAGACUUUGGAAUUAGUUACAGAUGAGUAAGAGAAACCCAUAGUGAGGGAGGGGGUCUUACCGGUUCAUUCAUCCAUUUAACCACCAUUUACAGAAUGCCCACUGUGUGCCAGUCAGUAUCCAGAAUUCCCAAAGAGGCACCUAACGAAUGGGAAUGCAUGCAGCCUGACAGUGUGGGUGGCUUGUCACUUACAGCAGCCUCCUGCCCAGGUUUCUUUAAGCCUUUCAAGGACUGACCUUAAUUAUAACAACAGCUGAUGAGUGCUUAUGUGCCAGGCAUUUUAUAUGGACGGAUUCAUUCAGUCCACCCAACAAGUUUGAGCAGGCACUGUUGUUAUCCCCAUUUCACAGAUGAGGAAGCAGACGCAAAAAAGGCAACCAGGCAAAGUCCCUAUCGCCCAACCUACCCAGAAACCAACAGACCCCAGGGCACUUCGAGCUGGAAAGGGCUAGAAAGCUUACCACUUUUUUUUCUUUGAAGCUGAACACUUCUUUGAACGCUUUCUCUAACAUCGAUUUAAGGAUAUCUUUGAUCUUUGUGGAAACAAAGAAGAAUGCUUUAAGACUGCGCUUAGAAAUCUGGCCGUUUGGUUUUAAGGUCAUUGGCCUCUGCCUACCGUGCUCCUGAAUGAAUAGCUCAGGACUUCCAGGGCUACCUUUGGGCCAAAAGUUAAUAAUUUACAGCUGAGCAAGUGUAGGUAAACUGCCACUUUACAGCAAGCUUCUAAUCCCUCACUGAUCACUUUGAAAAUUACAAAGGACAUUCACUUCAAGUGUGAGCCAAUUCAGAAUCAACCUCAUGCUAAUUUGAUAUAAGCUGUUCACUGAGGGAAAAAGUCCAAAGGAGGUUCUAACUUAUUUUCUAAAUGGACAUCGUAUCAAAAUUAAAAAUUCAAUGACAGCAUCUUUUAGCUCAAUCAUAGUUAAGUAUAUAAUACUGCUGAAUUUAAAGUCAGCAGAGAUUAUCUAGACUUUACUAUGAAAUAUAGACAAGCUGUGCUUUUAAAAGGUUUAUUUAAAUUACUGAUUAUAAAAGUAAUCCAAGCCCAUUUGUGAAAAUUUGGAAAAUGUGGAAGAGUAUAAAGAAAAAAAAAACUACUCAUUCUAUGAGCACCGAGAGAUAAACGUUAUCAUGUUGGCGCACUUCCUUCUGGCCUUUUUCUCCAGAUCAGAGGAAGAGGAAGGGUGGUGUAUCUUCAUGAAACUACUAACCCAAACCCAGAACACAGCCAUCUCGCUACUAAAGUCUCAGAGAUAUUGAGCUUGGACUUCGACCAUGGGUUCUGGAGUCCAUUCAAUUCCCAGCCUUGGCCAUUCCUGGCUGUGUAAUUUCAAGGAAAUUACCUAAACACUCUGAGUUUUGAUUCUAUCGUCAAUAAAAUGAAGGAAAUGCUAGCAUUUGCCAUGUACAUUGACAUAGGGAUUAAUCAUGGAAAUAAAGAGUUGAGGUCCAUGUCCUGGUACAGAGACUCAAAAAAUCCUCAGUGAUGGUAGAUGCCAGCUCCCUUGGGGAAGGAAAUAUGAUGGCUCUACUUCUUUGGAGUUUAGACGAUGUCACAGAGCCUUAUCCUGAGGAGCUCCCUGACUCUGCAGAGGCCAUGAACAAUGUCACAAACAGAGUUGGACGACAGUGGUGCCAUCAGGAUGCAGGCAUCAGCACUGUAUCCUGAAUAAUGGUACCAUUAAGAGUAACUCCCCUUGAAUGGCUCACACCCCCCAUGACACAUUACAGACUACACAUCUUGAUGUUACCACAAAUCUCUAGAGGCCCUUGAUGUAUUCAAGUCUUCUGUGUAAUAAGUCACAAAACUAGUGCUGAACUUAGCUGAGUUGGAAAAAAAAAGAAAAAGGGCAACGACAAACCACCUGUGACCCAGGCACCCAGCAUCUCUCAGUAAGACAUUUGCCCUUAAGUCAAAGGCAAGAACUCCAAAAGACAAGCUAAAAAAGAAAAACAGAAAACGUUUUUAAAGAUAUAUCUUUUCUUCCUUAAAGUCCUGCAUCAAAAUGACACAUCCACCAUCUAACAAAUUAAUAAAUUCCCUUAAAAUUAUAAAUCCAGCAUGGUCUAGACUGUGGGGCAAAAGGCACUCACACCCCAGGGGUGAAAAUGUAAUCUUGCACUAGGUUUUUAGAGGGUAACUUGGCAACAAAUAUCAAAAGCCCUAAAAAAAAAAAAAAAAAAAAAGUCUACACUGGGGCCGGGCAUGCUGGCUCAUGCCUGUAAUCCCAGCACUUUGGGAGGCUGAGGGAGGUGGAUCACCUGAGGUCAGGAGUUCGAGACCAGCCUGGCAACAUGGAGAAACCCUGUCUCUACCAAAAAUACAAAAAUUAGCUGGGCAUGGUGGCAGGCACCUGUAGCCCCAGCUACUCGGGAGGCUGAGGCAGGAGAAUCGCUUGAACCUGGGAGGCAGAGGUUACAGUGAGCCAAGAUUGUGC